GCACCGCUGAGUAGUCGCACAAUAGGACGAAACGGCCGUCCCGUGC
Molecule: non-coding RNA, 46 nt
Filed under: Schistosoma margrebowiei
Lineage: Eukaryota; Metazoa; Platyhelminthes; Trematoda; Strigeidida; Schistosomatidae
Source: RNAcentral